UUGGUUUUCAUUUUCAGCCGCUCAUUUUUAUUGUGCCCUCCAUCUUCAUUUUCGUUUCACUGCUACUCCCACCAUCGACAGUCCCUCUGUCGACAGUCAGUACUCCCUCCGUAUCCGUAACUCCCUCCAUUGAUAGUCCCUAUGUCGACAGUCCUUCCGUAGCGUUACAAUCUGUAUCUCUAUCUCGCUUAUUCAUCUCUCCACAACCAGAAACUCCCUCCGACCGGUCGCUCCUUCUCCUCUUCCCUGCAUCCGUCCACUGCCACUCGCUGCUAACUGCAUCCAGUCCCGCUUGUUUUCCAUGCCUGCCACCACUUCCAGCACAGGAAUUUGAGACGAUUGGGUUGCGUACAGUCACUUUUGCCACUGCAUAGCACGAUGGCGGAAGCUUGACUCACUUCACAUAUUGUUCUCCUACAUUUCGUGAAUCUCUUACAAGUUUAGGGUUUAGGGUUCUAAAUAGUCAACAUGUGUUUAAUUUUGGGGAGGGUAUUUGCUUCUUCAAUUAUGUUUACGGUACAACGAAUUUCUUUAUCAUCCAUAUUCAAGCUUGCUAAAAGCACAGGACAAUGGUUUUGACGGGUUUAUUAGGCCUUGCAGUAUCUUUACAUUGUGUUUUUUUAUGAUGUUGUCUUAGACAAUCCCUUUCUCUAAGUCUAAUGCUGCCAAAUAUUUCAGGUCCUUCAUUAGGGGUAACCAAUCUUAUAUCGCCAUCCUGGUUGAAUUUAAAUUUCAGGUUAGAUGAGAGGAGAAUACAUAUUGAAUAACUAGUAAGAGAGCUCAAGCUUCCAUUGGACAUCAAGUUAUCUGUAAAAGCUCUUGAAGAUUAUGGUCUGGUAGACUCCACCAUAUAUGACUUCCAUUACAAACUAGCUUGGAAUUUUCUGUCACUGAAAGAAAGAAUUUAGCUGAGGAUCAUGCUGGUAUAGAGCAAGAACUAAUAAUGAUAUUGGUGUUGUUUUGUUUUGAAUUAUAGGGUGAUGUAGAUAUUUUCUGGAUCAAUUAAUCUGUUAUAUGCUUAAAAAUCGUCUGAAUCUUGUUUGUUGACUAAGUUA
Long non-coding RNA from Vicia villosa (hairy vetch), 1055 nucleotides. RefSeq lists it as uncharacterized. The record is from RefSeq and is a predicted model, not a curated record. The transcript has 4 exons. NCBI's taxonomy places the organism in Eukaryota, Viridiplantae, Streptophyta, Magnoliopsida, Fabales, Fabaceae.